CGCCCGCGGGCCACGCCUCCCGGCUGCCCCGGAGGCUCCCGGAGCUGGAGCGAAGCCAGCAAUCACUAGCAUUGAUGGAGCGCUCGCUGUGCGCCAAGCGGUGUUCUAGAAGCCUCAGCUCUCUUCCUGCUCGCAUCAACCUAGCACCUGUUAGCCCGGCCAUUUUACAGACGGAGACAAAUGAGGCACAGAGUGGCACUGGGAGAUCAGACACUGAGGAGACAUAGACCCUGCCCUCAAGGAGCUUACAGUCGAGAGAGGAGACGGAGACCAGCCAACAGGCCUUCCCGAAAGCGUGGCGGAGAACAGAUCUGUUCUACCUGUGACCACCAGGGCGAUUCUGUCGCGGACUUCAGCAGGUGAAGCAGCUGGGACCUGAGGUGCCUCCAGGAGAAGGAGGAGACUCAUAAUCCAGGGCUUAGUUCCCCCAGGGGUGCCCCCUUCUGACCACUCUCCUUCCCUGUCCCACCCCAACUCCUGCCCUUGCUGUGGCUGCUGGCUUCCCCUUCUGUCUUUCCCCACGUCCCCCUCCCCAAGCAGCCUGGAGACACUCCAGAGCAACCUUCUCCCCACGCCAGGCAGUCCCUCUCCCACAACAGACUCAC
Herpailurus yagouaroundi (jaguarundi) is the source of this 605-nucleotide long non-coding RNA. RefSeq lists it as uncharacterized. The record is from RefSeq and is a predicted model, not a curated record. The transcript has 3 exons. NCBI's taxonomy places the organism in Eukaryota, Metazoa, Chordata, Mammalia, Carnivora, Felidae.